GUGAGGAAUAUUGGUCAAUGGACGAGAGUCUGAACCAGCCAAGUCGCGUGAAGGAAGACGGUUCUAUGAAUUGUAAACUUCUUUUGUGCAGGAAUAAAGUGGGUUACGUGUAACCUUUUGUAUGUACUGUACGAAUAAGGAUCGGCUAACUCCGUGCCAGCAGCCGCGGUAAUACGGAGGAUCCGAGCGUUAUCCGGAUUUAUUGGGUUUAAAGGGUGCGUAGGUGGAUUGAUAAGUCAGCGGUGAAAGUUUGCAGCUUAACUGUAAAAUUGCCGUUGAAACUGUCGAUGUUGAGUGCAAAUGAGGUAAGCGGAAUGUGUUGUGUAGCGGUGAAAUGCUUAGAUAUAACACAGAACACCGAUUGCGAAGGCAGCUUACUGGGAUGCAACUGACGCUCAUGCACGAAAGCGUGGGGAUCAAACAGGAUUAGAAACCCGUGUAGUCC
RNAcentral lists this ribosomal RNA (445 nucleotides) under uncultured bacterium. Its description in RNAcentral is "partial 16S ribosomal RNA". It matches the Rfam family "Bacterial small subunit ribosomal RNA", at positions 354 to 796 of the family's 1533-position model. The record is from RNAcentral.